Long non-coding RNA from Oreochromis aureus, 1156 nucleotides. RefSeq lists it as uncharacterized. The record is from RefSeq and is a predicted model, not a curated record. NCBI's taxonomy places the organism in Eukaryota, Metazoa, Chordata, Actinopteri, Cichliformes, Cichlidae. The transcript is spliced from 6 exons.
CUUAAGGAGUAUGAAACUACAGGUACCCUGUCAGUGCCAUCGAGGAAGCUUCUUGUGAAGACUUGCAUUGGGGACUUGGUGGAGAGGUGUGGUUAUUACCCUCUUAGUGCAGAGAAGCUGACUGUAGCAAAAAGCAUCAUCACCACUUUUCCAUCCCUGAGUGUCCGAGUGGCAGGACAGGGGGAAGGAUUUGAGCAUUGUUAUGAUCCAGUCUCUCAUUGUGGAUUCCUAGAGACUAAACUGUGCAACCUUAGACGGAAUCUCGACCAGGGGCAGAGACGUUAUAAGAAGCGAAAAGUGACAGAUGACUGUGGUGAAGACAAGAAGCUCAGGAAAGAGGAUGGGAAUACCAGCAGCACAGAUGAGUGGGUCACCCUGAUCAAAAGAUUGCGGCCCUCAGCUGAGAACCUUCCAACUAUCAUGUCAGGCAUGGAGGAAACAUACACCAAUCGCAGAGCCUGGAUUAGCAAGGACUCCCCCACUGCUGCUGAAAUAUUCAGAGAGUACCCACAGUUUUUGGACAUGCCAAGUCUGCUGGACUCGGAGUUUGGCAAGCUUACAGGAGGAAGGACGGAUCUGUUUUUAUGAAAAUGGGAAGCCAGUAUCAUUCCGAAACUCAAAUCAGUAGCUGCCCUGGAAACAAGAAUGUCCUCUCUGUUGAAGGAUUUUGAAGAGAAGACUGAAGAUGAGGCUUGUUACACUGCCCUUGUGGUGUUAACACACCUGCUCCCACCAGUUGGUGCCAGUCGUUGCAGCCUUAAAUCAGCUAUAAUGCACUUGGUUGAUUUUGCACUGCCUGGAACAAGUAUUGCAUCGCUUUGCAGUGAUCCUGAAGCAUCAUCCACAACACACCAACCCCAGCUGAUAUGCAUUGGUGAUCUAAAGAGUGCAACCAGGCAGUACAUCAUUGUUGCUAAGAAUGACAAAGUAACCAUUCCUCUGAAUGAUGGCCUGACGUGUGCUGUGGAUAAGCUUUUCAAACUGUACUGGGUAUGUAACUUGUCCUAUCCAGCACCGCUUGGCUCCGUCUUCACCUUCUUUGAGUUUGUCUAUGACCUGCCGCUGUCCACCCAAAGGAAAACCAAAGUACUGGAGCUGAUUGCACAGAUUAAAGCAUGCAAGUAAAAUGUUCACCUGUCCAAAAUGUAGAGAGUCU